Gadus macrocephalus (Pacific cod) is the source of this 493-nucleotide long non-coding RNA. RefSeq lists it as uncharacterized. NCBI's taxonomy places the organism in Eukaryota, Metazoa, Chordata, Actinopteri, Gadiformes, Gadidae. The transcript has 3 exons. The record is from RefSeq and is a predicted model, not a curated record.
ACAAAAAUGUUGUCAGACAGUACACGGUGGAAAAUGGUGAACAUUCUAGUAGCUGAAAUGAUGGAGAAGCAUGGAAAAAUGCCACCACACCAUAUAAGAGAAAUGUAUGCACGGGGAAUUAUCGAGCUCUUUCCAUACCUGAGGGAUCCCCAAGCCAAACAUGGCUACGAACAUUACUAUGAUUCCCAGAGCGGCCAGGGUUACCUCAGUUGGCGAAUAAAGACAGUCCAGAGAAACAGCUCGCACGGGAAAUCACCAAUCUCCAUCAAGACAUUUGAUGGAGGUCCAACAGCACAAAGACAAGUUGCAGGCACCUCACAACACUCUGAUGAAGACUGCGUCAAUGCAAUCUCCCUGAUGAAGCAUAGUGUUGAUGAAGAAACAGUCAAGCAGAAAAUGAGGAGUACCUUUCGGUAUCGAAGGAAUAUGGUUGAAGAUCCUGAAAGAUGUGGCGAUGUCCUGGCAGAAUACCCACGUUUUAAAGAUGUGAAAG